UGCCAGACUCCUACGGGAGGCAGCAGUGGGGGAUAUUGCACAAUGGGGGGAACCCUGAUGCAGCGACGCCGCGUGGGUGAAGGAGUGCUUCGGCAUGUAAAGCCCUAUCGGCAGGGAAGAAGCAAGACGGUACCUGUCUAAGAAGCCCCGGCUAACUACGUGCCAGCAGCCGCGGGAAUACGUAGGGGGCAAGCGUUAUCCGGAUUUACUGGGUGUAAAGGGAGCGUAGACGGCAGCGCAAGUCUGGAGUGAAAUCCCAUGGCUUAACCAUGGAACUGCUUUGGAAACUGUGCAGCUGGAGUGCAGGAGAGGUAAGCGGAAUUCCUAGUGUAGCGGUGAAAUGCGUAGAUAUUAGGAGGAACACCAGUGGCGAAGGCGGCUUACUGGACUGUAACUGACGUUGAGGCUCGAAAGCGUGGGGAGCAAACAGGAUUAGAUACCCCAGUA
Molecule: ribosomal RNA, 447 nt
Filed under: uncultured bacterium
Lineage: Bacteria
Description: bacterial SSU rRNA
Rfam family: Bacterial small subunit ribosomal RNA
Source: RNAcentral